Non-coding RNA from Cyanistes caeruleus (blue tit), 748 nucleotides. The record is from RefSeq and is a predicted model, not a curated record. NCBI's taxonomy places the organism in Eukaryota, Metazoa, Chordata, Aves, Passeriformes, Paridae.
AGAUGGCCUUUAAAUGUCCCUUCCAAGCCAAGCCAUUCUGUGCUGCUGUGCACCAGUAGAGCAGUGCUGGAAUAAUGCUGGGGUGAUGAUGCUGGCACCUGUGUUUCGGUAGUUGUGCCAUUUAGCUGUUGGCCAAGAGAGGAUUGAUGGGCUGCACAGUGAAGUCUGCAAAGAACAGUGUGCUCAAGGAGAAACAGGAGAGGAACAGGGCUUCCAGCUCAGAUAAAUGCCAGCAUUUUGCUCCCAUUCAUUGUUAAGAAAUAAAGCAAUGUUCUGAAGAUCCCUUCAGUGUGGGUGCACUAUUGGCUGUAUCAGUGCUUGUGUUCUGUAAAACAGGUAUCCAUCAGGACAGUGGCUGUGAAGCUUGGAACAAUGUAGGUUUAGAGCAGCAAAAAUAAUAAUCCAUUUCCCAGGUUAAGCCAAGCAUUUCCCAAAUAACUCUAGCUAUCCUCAGGGAUGUUUCCAAAAGUAUCACAGUAAAUGUUGGGAGUGGGGAGAGAAUGUGAACAAAAUUAAGAAUACAGCUUUCUGAGAUCUUUUUAUUCCUAUAUAAACAGAGUCAAAAUUGUUUAUAGAUAGAACAUUAACUAAGAAGUGAACAACAGAUUGUCAAGAUAAUUGCUUAGGAAUCAAAAAUAUCUAAAUAAAAAUAAGUUAACAUGUGGAUUUAUGAGAAAACAAUCAUACUAAGAAAAAAACCAUACCUACCAAAUCUAAAAACAACAAGUCUGCCUCAUCUGUCUCAAUA